UGUUAAAUUUAUGACAUAUAAGGGAAGUGUGAAGAUCCUCAAGUGUGUGAUCUGAAAACAUCUCUCUGGAAGUGCACAAGUUUCUCUGUGACUUAAACUCUGUUUUGUUAAAGACACAACAUCAUGUACCGUUUUCUGAUCUUCAGUGCCAUUCUUCUCUUUGCAGUUGCCAUUGACUCCUCAAAAAAACAAAACAGCACUUUAGAGAUUAAUCCAGAUCCAGAACCAUCGCCAAGUAGCAACCCUGGGUCCUUCACUUCUCCAGUAUCACUGUUCAUCUGCACACUCCUAUCCUUCUUCUACCAUAUGCUGGCCAACUAAUACCUGAGAAGAAUCCUUUACUGGAAACCCAAAUAUUGUUCCUUUACUCUAUCAAAGGUGUCUUGUGCUUCAUCUAUGACCAAGCAGUCCGUAAGAUGAACCCUCAGAUUGUCCUCUUGAAUGCUUGCUUCAGCGCGGCUGGGCUCAAUUUGAUUGUACACUCCUCUGACCACUCCUCAACACCUUCCAUUCAACCAAUUGCUUAAAUAUCCCCAUAACCAAUACACUGGCUAAAUAAAUAUGUAUUGUUUUUCACCAGA
Xenopus tropicalis (tropical clawed frog) is the source of this 581-nucleotide long non-coding RNA. RefSeq lists it as uncharacterized. The record is from RefSeq and is a predicted model, not a curated record. Lineage: Eukaryota; Metazoa; Chordata; Amphibia; Anura; Pipidae. The transcript is spliced from 2 exons.